UACAGAGGUCCCAAGCGUUGUUCGGAUUCACUGGGCGUAAAGGGUGCGUAGGUGGCCAGGUAAGUUCGGUGUGAAAGCUCGGAGCUUAACUCCGAAAUGGCAUUGAAUACUAUCUGGCUAGAGGGUCGGAAGGGAGACUGGAAUUCUCGGUGUAGCAGUGAAAUGCGUAGAUAUCGAGAGGAACACCAGUGGCGAAGGCGAGUCUCUGGACGACUCCUGACACUGAGGCACGAAAGCGUGGGGAGCAAACAGG
RNAcentral lists this ribosomal RNA (253 nucleotides) under uncultured bacterium. Its description in RNAcentral is "partial 16S ribosomal RNA". It matches the Rfam family "Bacterial small subunit ribosomal RNA", at positions 524 to 776 of the family's 1533-position model. The record is from RNAcentral.